AUACGUAGGGUGCGAGCGUUGUCCGGAAUUACUGGGCGUAAAGAGCUCGUAGGUGGUUUGUCGCGUCGUCUGUGAAAUUCCGGGGCUUAACUCCGGGCGUGCAGGCGAUACGGGCAUAACUUGAGUACUGUAGGGGAGACUGGAAUUCCUGGUGUAGCGGUGAAAUGCGCAGAUAUCAGGAGGAACACCGGUGGCGAAGGCGGGUCUCUGGGCAGUAACUGACGCUGAGGAGCGAAAGCAUGGGUAGCAAACAGGAUUAGAUACCCUGGUAGUCCAUGCCGUAAACGGUGGGCGCUAGGUGUAGGGGUCUUCCACGACUUCUGUGCCGUAGCUAACGCAUUAAGCGCCCCGCCUGGGGAGUACGGCCGCAAGGCUAAAACUCAAAGGAAUUGACGGGG
This 398-nucleotide ribosomal RNA is filed under the name uncultured bacterium. RNAcentral describes it as "partial 16S ribosomal RNA". It matches the Rfam family "Bacterial small subunit ribosomal RNA", at positions 523 to 918 of the family's 1533-position model. The record is from RNAcentral.